This 252-nucleotide ribosomal RNA is filed under the name uncultured bacterium. RNAcentral describes it as "partial 16S ribosomal RNA". It matches the Rfam family "Bacterial small subunit ribosomal RNA", at positions 524 to 776 of the family's 1533-position model. The record is from RNAcentral.
UACGGAGGAUGCGAGCGUUAUCCGGAUUUAUUGGGUUUAAAGGGUGCGUAGGCGGGCUUUUAAGUCAGCGGUAAAAAUUCGGGGCUCAACCCCGUCCGGCCGUUGUAACUGGGGGUCUUGAGUGGGCGAGAAGAAGGCGGAAUGCGUGGUGUAGCGGUGAAAUGCAUAGAUAUCACGCAGAACCCCGAUUGCGAAGGCAGCCUUCCGGCGCCCUACUGACGCUGAGGCACGAAAGUGCGGGGAUCGAACAGG